RNAcentral lists this ribosomal RNA (525 nucleotides) under uncultured bacterium. RNAcentral describes it as "bacterial SSU rRNA". It matches the Rfam family "Bacterial small subunit ribosomal RNA", at positions 8 to 526 of the family's 1533-position model. The record is from RNAcentral.
AGAGUUUGAUCCUGGCUCAGAUUGAACGCUGGCGGCAUGCCUUACACAUGCAAGUCGAACGGCAGCACGGGAGCUUGCUCCUGGUGGCGAGUGGCGAACGGGUGAGUAAUGCAUCGGAACGUGCCCUGAAGUGGGGGAUAACGUAGCGAAAGUUACGCUAAUACCGCAUAUUCUGUGAGCAGGAAAGCAGGGGAUCUUCGGACCUUGCGCUUUUGGAGCGGCCGAUGUCGGAUUAGCUAGUUGGUGGGGUAAAGGCCCACCAAGGCGACGAUCCGUAGCGGGUCUGAGGGGAUGAUCCGCCACACUGGAACUGAGACACGGUCCAGACUCCUACGGGAGGCAGCAGUGGGGAAUUUUGGACAAUGGGCGCAAGCCUGAUCCAGCCAUGCCGCGUGAGUGAAGAAGGCCUUCGGGUUGUAAAGCUCUUUCGGUUGGGAAGAAAUUGCUUGGGUUAAUACCCUGAGUAGAUGACGGUACCAGCAUAAGAAGCACCGGCUAACUACGUGCCAGCAGCCGCGGUAAUAC